GUCUUAUUGAGAAUAAUUUUAAGUCUGACCUGCCAAUUGAGGAAUUAAAAGGCCGCGGUAAUUUGACCGUGCUAAGGUAGCAUAAUCAUUAGUUUUUUAAUUGAAAGCUGGAAUGAAGGGUUGAAUGGAAAAUUAACUAUCUAAAUUUAAAUAAAAGAAUUUUAAUAUUAAGUUAAAAAGCUUAAAUUUAAUUUAAAGACGAGAAGACCCUAUAGAGUUUAAUAUAAAUUUAUUUUAAUAUUUUUUAGUAUUGAUAGUUUUAAUUUAAAUUUAUAUUUAAUUGGGGUGAUUAGAAAAUUUAAUAAACUUUUCUUUUUUUUUGCCAAUUAUAAUUGAUUUAUUGAUCCAAUUUUAUUGAUUAAAAGAAUAAAUUACCUUAGGGAUAACAGCGUUAUUUUUUUUGAGAGUUCUUAUUUAAAAAAAAGAUUGCGACCUCGAUGUUGGAUUAAAAUUUAAUUAUGGUGCAGUAGCUAUAAAUUUAGGUCUGUUCGACCUUUAAAAUUUUACA
RNAcentral lists this ribosomal RNA (508 nucleotides) under Bactridium sp. BYU CO898. RNAcentral's name for it is "partial 16S ribosomal RNA". The stretch from base 382 to 508 matches the Rfam family "Bacterial large subunit ribosomal RNA", at positions 2473 to 2600 of the family's 2925-position model. The record is from RNAcentral. RNAcentral also lists the same sequence under 1 other name. Lineage: Eukaryota; Metazoa; Arthropoda; Insecta; Coleoptera; Monotomidae.